AGAGUACGUGAAACCGUUCAGGGGUAAACCUGAGAAACCCAAAAGAUCGAAUGGGGAGAUUCAUCGUCAACGGUGCCGGCUCCCGUUUGUGCGCGAUGCUCCGAAUGGGCUCUCGUGGUUCCAUGGCGAGGGCACGCCACUUUCGGCCUGAACGUUCCGGCACCGUAGUCGUGCACUUCUCCCCUAGUAGAACGUCGCGACCCGUUGCGUGUCGGUCUACGGCCCGAGCGGGCACCUGUCGCGGCGCAUUUCGCGUACGCGGCAGACCCUCGGUUGCCCGACCGGCUGCGCGACGGUACUCACACGGUAUCGGGCCGCAACCAAUCCAUUCUCGAAUGUGUGUGCGUCAGGCCCGCCGCAAGCUCGGGCAGUUUUACCCGGAGGUACGGACCUGGUGCCGUCCCCGGGCCUGACCAGCUGUUAGCAGGCGGUGUCCUCGGACUGGCCAAGCUUCGAAUUACCGGUCGGCGACGCUCCUGCUUUGGGUACUCUCAGGACCCGUCUUGAAACACGGACCAAGGAGUCUAACAUGUGCGCGAGUCAUUGGGAUGCAUAAACCUAAAGGCGCAAUGAAAGUGAAGGUCGGCCUACGCGUCGACCUAGGGAGGAUGGGCCGCGUUACGAUGCGGCCCCGCACUCCCGGGGCGUUUCGUUCUCAUUGCGAGAAGAGGCGCACCUAGAGCGUACACGUUGGGACCCGAAAAGGG
Molecule: ribosomal RNA, 707 nt
Filed under: Acanthopus sp. ACM-2017
Lineage: Eukaryota; Metazoa; Arthropoda; Insecta; Hymenoptera; Apidae
Description: eukaryotic LSU rRNA
Rfam family: Eukaryotic large subunit ribosomal RNA
Source: RNAcentral